Molecule: RNA transcript, 4001 nt
Organism: Gambusia affinis (western mosquitofish)
Lineage: Eukaryota; Metazoa; Chordata; Actinopteri; Cyprinodontiformes; Poeciliidae
Exons: 7
Source: RefSeq, a predicted model, not a curated record
UGGGCAGAAACAUCCCACGCUUCCCCCUCCACCUGCGGCUGGACAGCCAGGUUAAUGGAUAAACAAACUUCCUGCGUCCAAACUGACACCGAAACUUGUCCGGAAUACUUCCGCUGUGGUGACGAACCUGUCAAUGGGACUUUUUACAAGAAAGUUAUUUUUUUCUCCAGUCAAUAGUUAUUAGUGUUAAUGUUUCUGAGUCAGAAACCCAACCAAACAGCGCUUAGCGUCAGCCUCGCUCACACGUUUCCCUCGGAGCUUCUUUAAACCGAAACAGAAGCAGGGCGUUGGGAUUUCCAUCUGAACAUGGACCGGUACCGGUACUUCAUAUUCAACCAGAGGAGUGUGCUCAUCCUGGGCAUCCUCCAGAUAGCCUGUGCGGGUCUCUGUGUCGUCUGCGGCUUAAUGGACGCUGCUUUCCGCAAGAACACCCCGCUGAGCACCAGCAGGACGCCGGUGUGGGGAGGACUGAUUAUGGCCUGUCCUGGUGUGCUGGCGCUGUUUGCAUCCCAGAGGAAGAAUGCUGUGUUGGUCAGCUGCAUGAUGGUGGCUGCAGGACUUUCCUGUGCAGCUGUGGUCGUCAUCUUCGGCUACUCCUGUCUGACGCUGACCUAUGGGGAAGAGGACGAAGACGUCUUCCACCAACACAAAAGUGCCAAAGUGACAUUUGUUCUCCAUCGGAUGGUGAAAGGAGCCAAUGCCACCAUCAUCCUGACUUGCAUCAUCAGCCUGGUUCUGUCUUCCCUCAUUGGUUAUGUGGGUUUCCGGAGCCUUCCAUGCUGUGGCUGCUAUGAUUCCAGGACUGGACUGGAGACUCUGGUUCCUCAGACUGAUCCUGGAGACAGGGAGUUGGUGUGUACUUGGCAAGCAGGUGGUGAUGACAAACUUUUCAACUCUCCUCAAACAUCUGCUGGAGUCACCAAAGAGGAAGAGGAGGCUCCCUCUAACCUUCCUCCAUACAGCAGACUGACCUGACCCAGAACCCUGACCGUCCAGCUGGUUUCCAUCACCACUCUAUGGACAGUUUCAGUGUUCUAUCAGCCAAACAAUGUAAUAUGAAGAUCAACCAGACAGAGACUGAUCAGUACAGCUUCCAUCAGUUUUCCUUUAACUCCCUGAAUUCUCUGAAUCUAAGUUAUGAUUUUAUUGUGUUUAAUAAAUACAUUUGAACAGUAGUGUUUGUUUUUGAACAAUUGACAGCUUAAGAUGACACUUGUGUCCAACAUUUAUUGCAAGGUGAUGUAUGGUGAAAGAAAGCGCAUUCCUGUUUAACUUUGUUCCCGGGUGUAGCUGUCAGUCUGUUUUCAGUCACAUCCAGAGCAGCAGCAGUAUUUCCUUGAGGAGCCAGGUCCAAACACGAUGCAAAUGGAUCAGAUUCCAAGGAAAGCACUCAGUCUGACUUGUGCUGACAGGCCACAGAAAGGCUCUUCAUGUGAACAGAAAGUCCUGAGAGACGGCGACGGAGUGAAGUGUGAGGCGAUCAUCAGCAGAACCACAGGACCAGCUGUGGUCACACAGCAGCUUCAAACAAACAAGAUGCAGGUUGGUGCUGUUACUGUAUGAAUAUACAGGCUUAUUUCAUAUUCAGGAAAACACUUCUACAUGUUAAGACGCCUGAGGUACACGAUGGAGUGCAGGCCUGCACAAAGUGUCUGAUUCCUGGUGCGAUCUGGAUCGUUGAAUGCAUUACGUGGCAAAAAGCUCCAGAUCUAUGAUGAAUUGAAAAUAAUGAAAAGCUUCAUUGUCCCAUUCAAUACAGGUAUUGAUCCACUUCAGCUGGUGAAUUAAAGGGAUAGCUCAUAUUUUAGAGUUGUGUUACAGAGUAAAGUACUACCUGCAAUAUACAUACAUUUAAGUAAGAACACCAAAAUCAAAGGAGGGUGACUAGCAUUGCUUGUUAGCAAUGCUAGCAAUGAUUGUGUCGUCUAGGACAGAAUACAUUAAAUAAUAAAUUAAAUUGAGCUGUUAGCAAGUCAUUACCAUCAUGAGACUGAUUGAUGCAGCUGGCAUCAGCAUCCACAACGACUCUGAAGAGACUUGGUGAAAGGAGUUACGAAAACAUUUCAUUCCCUGAAUAAAGUAUUUUUGUAUAGAAGUGAAUAAGAAUGAAAAUCUGAAAUAUCCCUUUAGGUCAGCAGCUAACGCAGCACUGCAUAACAUUUUGUUCAGAGACGUUACAAAAGCAGGUGUGAACAUUUCACUCACAUUCCACUAACACUGACAUCCCAGUGUCAGUGGGACGGUUCCCAGUAACAACACACACCAUAGAAUAAAAGAAUAAAAAAAGUUACAGUUUCAAAGUUUUCAUUACCUUUCCAAGAGUUCCAAGAAAGACUAAUUUGGCUGUUUGGAAAUAUUUCAAGUAGAAACAAACUAAGAGUCAUGGUGUGAAACCUAAAGAGUUAAACUCUUAUUAAGUAGGAAUACACAAUAUAUCAGCAGUAACAUCGGUAUCGUCUGAUAUUAAUCAUGUUUUAACAUAUCUCUAUUGGUCCGAUAAAUGAUCCAAUAUCCUCCUAAAUUUGGAUAUAUGUGCAUUCUUAUUAUUAACCCCUAAACAGUCACGACAACCAAUGCUAAAUAUGGCAACAAAGUUGGUGACAAAAAGAAAAACAAAUUGCUAUCAGCCAAAAUCAGAAUCAGCAGUUCAGGCUUUUUACAGAUCAGUGAUCGGCCAGAAAACUGCCAUCGGUGCACCCCUAAAUGAAACUGUUGAAUCUUCAUUUAUCACUCUGAGGCUCAUAAUGACCAUCUAUGGAGGAGCUCAGAACCAAUCCAGGAAUUCACAUUGUUGGAGUCCAGACUGUUUUUUUUAAUCUACCAUCAUCCCAGCUCAUUUCUAAUGAAGCUCAACAACACCAACAUAAAGCCACUGAACGGUAAAAUCAAUGCAAAAACAAAAACAGCUGAAUGUCCAGUUGAGAAUUUGUUUGAUUAAACAAUCACCUUGGUUACCAAACCACCGUAUAUAAAGAUUAACCAGCUUCUGUGCUCAGUGUCUUCCAUUUCACUCAGAUGCCCUGAUAAAUGGAAAAUCCAAAGAACAGAGGUGAGACCUGAAGGCAUCAAACCAUACUGCCAACCAGUGGACCUGCCUGGACCGCUCCUCCUCCUACUCAGCCUCUUCUCUGCUCACUAAGAUCUGGACAGCCAGUGGAGUUUGAGUCCUCAGCAGCUGCUGCAGCUCCACCCUCUGCCUCCGCCCCCGUCGCCGCCGUCAUUCCUCCCUCCGCUCAGGGUGACGGUGCCUCCCGACCCCUCGGCCGGCUGGCUCAGCACUAGAGGCUUCUGGGACUUGAGCUUGUGGGCCACAGUCAUAAAGAUGGCCUCGACGUGGUCGCUGUCGCGGUAGCUCCCGCCUCCCAGGCCGUUGGGGCUCUUGGCGGACGUCUCGAACAGAGGCAUGGAGUGAGCGUCCGCAAACUGCUGCGCUACGUCCGUGCCCACCUGGACCGAGUCCUGCAGGUCGCACUUGUUCCCCACCAGGAUCCUGGGCACCUCGGUUCCCAGGGCGUGCUGCUUGCACUCCUCGAUCCAGGCGGGGAGGCUGCGGAAGCUGGCGGCGUUGGUCACGUCGUAGACGAACACCACGGCGUGGACGUUGCGGUAGUAGUGCUGCACCAUGGACUUCCUGAAGCGCUCCUGGCCGGCAGUGUCCCACAGCUGGAUCUGGGGGGGACAGAGCACCCUGGUUAUUUAGUUAACACAGACUAAACCAGACUCUAGAAGCUCUGCUGCUUCCUCCACAGGACUGGGAGUGAUGGAUGAGAACAAGCAGCAGAGAGGAGGCAACAUUCAAGAAACCUCUCUUUCUUUUAAUUAACUGAACAUGUUACUUAUCCAUUAUCAAUUAUUAGCAUUACUGUUACUUAUACUUAUGGCACAAUGAAACAUCACAGGUGGAUAACUGUAGUUAGUACUAAUUGAACAUGUCAUUUAUUAUCUAUUUAUUAUCGAUUAUUAGCAUUACUAUUACCAUUAAAACUUGUGGCACAAUGAAA